CCUUACCAUCAUGAAGGAUCAAACCUGACCGGUGCCUGCUGACUGUUACAAUUGAGCCAUGGUUUACAGCAUUUUCAACAUUCUCUUCCAAAUUCUAAUGUUCCAUAGGAGGACUGUUUUGAAGAUUGAGAAAAAUGUAUUUUCCGGGGAAAUCAGCUUGGAGGAUAAGGCAGAGAUGGUAGCAGGGUGGACACUGCUGACUCUUAGCUACUGUCCGAGCUGUGUGAUACAGCACGCGCAUACCGCACUGAGAAGAAAUCAAAGCUAUUUCUUUAACACCAGCCUCAGCAGCCAUCUCCUGGCACUGCAGCAGAGACUCAAGCUGCAGAAUGCACCUCUUCAAUGUGUGUAUGUGAUUACUCAAGCAGAGCUGUAG
Long non-coding RNA from Chrysolophus pictus (golden pheasant), 376 nucleotides. NCBI's taxonomy places the organism in Eukaryota, Metazoa, Chordata, Aves, Galliformes, Phasianidae. The record is from Ensembl.